This 253-nucleotide ribosomal RNA is filed under the name uncultured bacterium. RNAcentral describes it as "partial 16S ribosomal RNA". It matches the Rfam family "Bacterial small subunit ribosomal RNA", at positions 524 to 776 of the family's 1533-position model. The record is from RNAcentral.
UACGAAGGGGGCUAGCGUUGCUCGGAAUCACUGGGCGUAAAGGGUGCGUAGGCGGGUCUUUAAGUCAGGGGUGAAAUCCUGGAGCUCAACUCCAGAACUGCCUUUGAUACUGAAGAUCUUGAGUUCGGGAGAGGUGAGUGGAACUGCGAGUGUAGAGGUGAAAUUCGUAGAUAUUCGCAAGAACACCAGUGGCGAAGGCGGCUCACUGGCCCGAUACUGACGCUGAGGCACUAAAGCGUGGGGAGCAAACAUG